Mytilus californianus (California mussel) is the source of this 798-nucleotide long non-coding RNA. RefSeq lists it as uncharacterized. NCBI's taxonomy places the organism in Eukaryota, Metazoa, Mollusca, Bivalvia, Mytilida, Mytilidae. The transcript is spliced from 3 exons. The record is from RefSeq and is a predicted model, not a curated record.
ACCGGCAAACCUUAGUCAAAUUAAGAAUGAAGUUACACAUUUCAUGUGAGGGUUCUCAGUGUUGACAGGCUAGUGAUACAUUAGUUGAACUACUUAUAGCACCACUCUGCCACCAUAAGUCGAUCAGUACGAAAUAUUUUAUUGAAAUGUGUUAGAUUUUUGUUAAUCUAUUUUUUAAUUUUAAUUGUACUAUUUUAUUUAUUUUGUUUAAUAUAACAAGGAUGUGGAGUCCGAACAAGGUGAAAUUUGGGUCAAAGGGAGGCAAUUUAUUAUACCCCUGUUUAACUCCACAUACUUAAAAUUCCCUCAAUGUUAGGAUUUUCAUCUACUUGGAUAUUCAUGUUUGUACAUUUUUUUUUUUUUAAUAUCAGAUGUAUACUAGCUAAUAAUGACUAUUAUUUAGAGCUCUGUAAUAAAAAAAAAUAAAUGUAAGCAGAGCUCUAGAUAAUAAAUAUGCAGGGUGGGAGAAAUCUUGGGUCGUUAACAAUUCAUUUGCUGAAAUUUUCAAGAAAGGGGAUUUAUUGGAAAUGCAUCUGAUAUAUUUAAUGUAUAAAACUAUAUUUAAAAAAAAAAGAUGUUAAGAUGGUGAGGAGAGCCACCUUGUCAGCCGGGAGAGCAGCUCUUAGGGAGAUGGUCAAUUUAAUCUUCAAGUCUGAGGCUUUACCAUGAAAAAUAUGUGGUUGUUAUAAUGAUGAUGUUUUCAUGGUGUUGGGAGUAAGACUUGGAUGUCUGAUAUUGUUAACAUGUUGGUUAGCAUCAGGUUUCCAUUGGGUUACUUGCUGGGAUAAAGCUGUUAUA